Homo sapiens (human) is the source of this 1263-nucleotide long non-coding RNA. Ensembl annotates it as urothelial cancer associated 1. Its record names the gene UCA1. The record is from Ensembl. NCBI's taxonomy places the organism in Eukaryota, Metazoa, Chordata, Mammalia, Primates, Hominidae.
GGACAAUGAGUCCCAUCAUCUCUCCACCAUGCACCUUGUGACUCCCUCCUCUGCUGACAACAGAUAACCACCUUUAACUGUGGUCUUCUAUACGGACAUGCUUGACACUUGGUGCCAAAAUCUGGGCCAGGGGGACUCCUUCGUGAGACCGGCCCCCUGUCCUGGCCCUCAUUCCGUGAAGAGAUCCACCUGCGACCUCGGGUCCUCAGACCAGCCCAAGGAACAUCUCACCAAUUUCAAAUCGGAUCUCCUCGGCUUAGUGGCUGAAGACUGAUGCUGCCCGAUCGCCUCAGAAGCCCCUUGGACCAUCACAGAUGCCGAGCUUCGGGUAACUCUUACGGUGGAGGAUUCCCAGCCAUAUGAAGACACCCUAGCUGGACGAUCAGUCCUUGUCAAAAGUCUGACCCCUCAAACUCUACAGCCUCAAUGGACCAGACCCUACCCGGUCAUUUAUAGCACACCAACUGCCGUCCAUCUGCAGGACCCUCUCCAUUGGGUUCACCAUUCCAGAAUAAAGCCAUGCCCAUCAGACAGCCAGCUUGAUCUCUCCUCUUCCUCCUGGAAGCCACAAGAUUAGGCCGAGAGCCGAUCAGACAAACAACCUACAACCCUUAAGCUCCUGGCAGCGCCCAGCCAAGGCCAUGCUUCCUUGCAACACUCCUUCCAAAUGGCCAUCCCAGCAUGCUUCCAAGCAGGCUUCAUCCGUUCCUCUGGACCCUCAUCUCUUAAGACCUGCCGCCUAUAAAAAGGAUUAUAUCUUGAGACCCUAUCCUCUAAAAUUUUUUCCACACCCAAAACAAAAAAUCUCUGGGUCAAAAGUCUAAAACGCUUAGGCUGGCAACCAUCAGAUCCUUGCCCAUGGUGUCCUCAAGCCUACUCUCAUGAAAUGGACAACAGUACACGCAUAUGGGGCCAGUUCCACAUAUUUGGCAACCAGACCAGCAUCCAGGACAACACAAAGUAUGUUGUUUGUUGUUAGAGGGCUUGGGACAUUUCACUCUUUGCCAGCCUCAGCUUAAUCCAGGAGACAAAGAUUAUUUUCCUUAUUAUCUCUUCUGCAUAGGAUCUGCAAUCAGAACUAUUGAACUUCUCCAUUCAGACCGCCACUCACACCUAUGGGAAAAGGGUAAUGUAUCAUCGGCUUAGCAACAGGGAAUACUAUUCGUAUGAUGGAAAAUGGGGACAAAAGGCUUUGGUACAUAAAACAUUAUUCCUUCCUUGGCCUAAAAACUCAUCGCCACCUACAUUAAAGCUAAUAUGCCU